RNAcentral lists this ribosomal RNA (2844 nucleotides) under wastewater metagenome. Its description in RNAcentral is "bacterial LSU rRNA". It matches the Rfam family "Bacterial large subunit ribosomal RNA". The record is from RNAcentral.
GGAAGCGAAAAAAGGGCGCAUGGGGGAUGCCUUGGCUCCCGGAGGCGACGAAGGACGUGGUAAGCUGCGAAAAGCGGCGGGGAGGUGCAAACGACCCUUGAUCCGCCGAUGUCCGAAUGGGGAAACCUAAUAGAUUGAAGAUCUAUUGAAAAGUCGCAAACCCGCUGAACUGAAACAUCUAAGUAGGCGGAGGAAAAGAAAACAAAAGUGAUUCCGCGAGUAGUGGCGAGCGAAAGCGGAAGAGGCCAAACCGAUGAGCGUGCUCAUCGGGGUUGUAGGACUGCGUCGUAGACUGUUAAUUUUUAGCAGAAAGAUUUGGAAAAAUCUGCCAGAGCGGGUGAAAGCCCCGUAAGCGAAAAGAAUUAACUACUUAGCAGGAUCCUGAGUAGGGCGGGGCUGGAGAAACCCUGUCUGAAUCCGGCGGCACCAUCCGCCAAGCCUAAACACUACCGGGAGACCGAUAGCGAACCAGUACCGUAAGGGAAAGGUGAAAAGAACCCUGAGCAAGGGAGUGAAAAGACUCUGAAACCAUGCGCUUACAAGCGGUCGGCGCUGUCCUGAGCAAUUAGGAUGGUAACGGCGUGCCUUUUGCAUAAUGAGCCUACGAGUUACACCUCACUGGCAUGCCUAAGCACUUCAGGUGCGGAAGCGAAGCGAAAGCGAGUCUUAACAGGGCGAACAAGAAGUCAGUGGGGGUAGACGCGAAACCGUGUGAUCUAUCCAUGGGCAGGCUGAAGGUCCGAUAAUCUCGGACUGGAGGGCCGAACUGGUGAAUGUUGAAAAAUUCUCGGAUGACCUGUGGAUAGGGGUGAAAGGCCAAUCAAACUCGGAGAUAGCUCGUACUCCCCGAAAUGCAUUUAGGUGCAGCGUUGUGUAAUGUUUGCCGGAGGUAAAGCUACUGAAAAGGCUAGGGGGCUUCACCGCCUACCAACCCUUAUCAAACUCAGAAUGCCGGUAAAUAGUAACAGCAGUGAGCCCCAGGGUGCGAAGGUCAUGGGGCGAGAGGGGAACAACCCAGACCAACAGCUAAGGUCCCUAAAUCUGGUUAAGUUGCAUUAAACGAGGUGGGAAUGCACAGACAGCUAGGAUGUUUGCUUGGAAGCAGCAAUUCAUUUAAAGAGUGCGUAACAGCUCACUAGUCGAGCGUUCCUGCGCGGAAAAUAAACGGGCAUCAAACCAGGUACCGAAGCUUUGGAUUCUCGCAAGAGAGUGGUAGGGGAGCAUUCAGUCGCGCCGAAGCGGAAUUGUGAGGUUCCGUGGAGUGAACUGAAAAGCAAAUGUAGGCAUAAGUAACGAUAAAUGGCGUGGAAAACGUCAUCGCCGUAAGACUAAGGGUUCCUUGAUCUACGUUCAUCGGAUCAGGGUGAGCCGGGACCUAAGGAUAAGCCGAAAGGCGAAGCCGAUGGCAAGUGGGUUAAUAUUCCUACGCCGGUGUAUAUUGUGAUGCGGGGACGGAGCGUCGGAGACAUCGCGCACUGACGGACAUGUGCGUUAAAGCCGCAAGGUGAUAGUACCGCGAGGGUUUCGGCCCGAGCGGAUAGUGUGUCAAAGAUACUUCCAGGAAAAGCCGCUAAACUUCAGGUAUACACCGCCCGUACCGUAAACCGACACAGGUAGUCGAGGAGAGCAUCCUAAGGCGCUCGAGUGAUUCGUGGCUAAGGAACUAGGCAAAAUGGUCUCGUAACUUCGGGAGAAGAGACGCCCCGCGAGGGGCCGCAGUGAAGAGGCCCAGGCGACUGUUUAGCAAAAACACAGGACUCUGCAAAAUCGAGAGAUGAAGUAUAGGGUCUGACACCUGCCCGGUGCCGGAAGGUUAAGGAAGGGGCUUAGGGGGUAACCUCGAAGGUCUUGACUGAAGCCCCGGUAAACGGCGGCCGUAACUAUAACGGUCCUAAGGUAGCGAAAUUCCUUGUCGGGUAAGUUCCGACCUGCACGAAUGGUGUAACGAUCUGGGCACUGUCUCAGCCACGAGCUCGGUGAAAUUGAAGUAUCGGUGAAGAUACCGAUUACCCGCAACGGGACGGAAAGACCCCGUGAACCUUUACUACAGCUUUGCAUUGGGCUUGACUAUUCGAUGCGUAGGAUAGGUGGGAGGCUAUGAUCCGGUGGUUCUGGCCAUUGGGGAGCCGACGUUGAAAUACCACCCUUUGACUAGUUGAGUCCUAACGGAGUAUAUCCAGACAGUGCAUGGCGGGUAGUUUGACUGGGGUGGUCACCUCCUAAAGAGUAACGGAGGUUUGCAAAGGUGCCCUCAGCACGGACGGUAAUCGUGCGUAGAGCGUAUUAGUACAAGGGCGCUUGACUGAGAGGCCGACGGGCCGAUCAGGGUCGAAAGACGGCUAAAGUGAUCCGGCGGUUCCACAUGGAAGGGCCGUCGCUCAAAGGAUAAAAGGUACUCCGGGGAUAACAGGCUGAUCUCCCCCAAGAGCUCAUAUCGACGGGGAGGUUUGGCACCUCGAUGUCGGCUCGUCGCAUCCUGGGGCUGGAGAAGGUCCCAAGGGUUGGGCUGUUCGCCCAUUAAAGCGGCACGUGAGCUGGGUUCAGAACGUCGCAAGACAGUUCGGUCCCUAUCUGUUGUGGGCGCAGGAAGAUUGAAGAGACCUGACACCAGUACGAGAGGACCGUGUUGGACGUACCGCUUGUGUAUCGGUUGUGCCGCCAGGUGCAGCGCCGAGUAGCAAUGUACGGCCGGGAUAAGCGCUGAAAGCAUCUAAGCGCGAAGCCUACUCUGAGAUGAAUCUUCCGUUGUAAGGGCCGCAGAAGACUACUGCGUUGAUAGGCGACAGGUGUACGUGUGGCAACACACUCAGCCGAGUCGUACUAAUUGCCCGUCAGCUUCCUUUU